ACAAUAAGUUAAUAACACUUUCCUAAGUUGUAUUGAUAUUAUGAAACUAGAAUUGUUUUACACUGUUAGUGUUACACAUACAGUUACGCCUAAGUUACAACUUACGGCGCCUUUGAAUUUAAACAAUGUCUUAUUUGAAUAGUUGGUAAUUCAUAAGAUGUCAUGGAAAAUUAAAUAAAAACGCGCCUUAUUUUAAUGUGUGCAUUUAAUAUUUAUGCAAAUAAAUUUGUUAUUUUGUGAAUGUUUAGAGGUAGAGCGCUGUAAUUUGUAGAAGUGGUCUUGCUGCACACACACAUUACAUAAUAAUUGUAUUUUAAGAAGUAUUACUAUUAAUCUGUAGGACACUUGGAAUAACAUUACAAUUUACAGAUGCCACAAUUUCAAUAAUAUUAUGUCAGAAAUUUGUAAUGAAAUUAUUACAUUUUGGUCUAAUUUUAUAAUGUGUUCAAGAAUUAGAAUGAAUUAAGUAAUAUGUAGUAUAUACUGUGCUAGAAAGGGUAACUAGGAGAUAGAUUGUUCAAUAAAUUUGUGAAACGAAGGAAGUGAGUUAAAAGUUUUGAACGUGUUUUCUCUGGAGCACAGAAGAAAUGGAGGUGUGACUUGACCCAAGUGUUAAAGCUUGUCAGGAGUUUUGACAAUUUGUUUAUGAGCGAUGGAAUGGAAGGUCGGAAAUGAGCUAGUGUACUGUGGAAUUUGGACUAUUUUCUACCUCAUUGCUGCUGUAGUGGUAUCACUGAAGGGACGUCAUUGUGAUACUUGGCCUGCAGCUGCGUGGUGUUAUAUGGAGUGGAUACUUUCUUGAAGUUCAAAGCUUGGAAAGGUGGGAAGUUAGCCCAAGGAGAAAGAACAAUUACAGUCGCUACCUCCCAAACCAGUGGCUCUGCAUAUUGAGCGAUGGGGAAGUGGUAAAUCAGCAUGCUAGUCUUCUUGUUCCCAGAGUUUGUGAUCGGCAGGCAAUGGUACCAGGCACACAAUGAAUUUACAUUAUUCAAUUAUGUUAAUUACAAUUAUUAAUUUGUAAUUUAUAUAUAUAUAUUACUAUAUUAGUUUAAUAAUGUCUUACCAUUUUAUUUUAUUCAUUACUCUUUCAGUAAAUGGUAGUUUCAUAAAUCUGAUGUAUUACUUUGGACCCCAGUUUGGGAACCUCUGGUUUAGGCAUUAUCUAUCAGUCCAGUAUUGUAUCUUUGGUUUUACUGCUAAUGAGUUUAACAAUAUUUCCCAGGCUUCAUUCUUGAUAACUUUUUUUGGACUUAUUUAUGACAAAUUCAUUGUUGUUUCCAUGGUUUUGUUCGGGAUAAAUUCCAGGUUGUUUUUCCAUUAUUGGUAAGUUAAUACCUCUUCUGUAAAGAGUGUGGUGGUGUGAAAUUUUCAGGGAUUUGCAUUAGUGAACUGAGGAUGGUUGAGAAGAUAUGCAACAUCAAUAACAACUGUGUCUGCACUCUCAAGUUUGCCAUAAUCACUUUAUUCAAACACCCGAGACCUUAUUUACCAUAACUUUUGUUUGUUUCUAUUUGUCAUCUAACUUAAGAUAGUUUAAGCAGAAGCUCAAAAAUUCAGGAAAACAUAGAAUAUAUUUCAUUCCAGUGCAAGAAGACUACAUUAGUAUAUUGUUAAGUUUAGGCAUAGUUUCAAAGUAUUUAUUUGGUUAUUAAUAUCGUAUAUAUUAAGCCUAAAAUUAUUUUGUUAUGAAGAACAUAAAAUGUUGAAGUAUGCUAAUCAUUUGGCUAUCCAAUUUGCCAGAUGCAUUUUUCUAUCGUCAAUGUGAUUUCUAAAUAUCAGAUUUUUUUAUUUUAAAAUGUUUUCAAAGGGAAAUAUUAUUGUGUUUUAUAUAUGUGUGUUUUUGAA
Long non-coding RNA from Limulus polyphemus (Atlantic horseshoe crab), 1845 nucleotides. RefSeq lists it as uncharacterized. NCBI's taxonomy places the organism in Eukaryota, Metazoa, Arthropoda, Merostomata, Xiphosura, Limulidae. The transcript is spliced from 4 exons. The record is from RefSeq and is a predicted model, not a curated record.